Molecule: ribosomal RNA, 194 nt
Filed under: uncultured eukaryote
Lineage: Eukaryota
Description: partial 18S ribosomal RNA
Rfam family: Eukaryotic small subunit ribosomal RNA
Source: RNAcentral
GAAACCUGGUUGAUCCUGCCAGUAGUCAUAUGCUUGUCUCAAAGAUUAAGCCAUGCAUGUCUAAGUAUAAGCACCCUUAUACUGCGAAACUGCGUACAGCUCAUUAUAUCAGCAAUUAUUUAUUUGAAGGUCACCUAUUACAUGGAUAACCGUGGUAAUUCUAGAGCUAAUACAUGCGAAAAGUCGGCGCAAGU